CGCAUCUUGCGCUCCUUGGUAUUCCGAGGAGCAUGCCUGUUUGAGUGUCAUUAAAUUCUCAACUCUCUUAUACUUUUUUGUGAAAGAGAGCUUGGACUGUGGAGGUUUGCUGGCCACUUUUCGGGGUCAGCUCCUCUGAAAUGCAUUAGCGGAACCGUUUGCGAUCUGCCACAAGUGUGAUAAGUUAUCUACACUGGCGAGGGGAUUGCUCUCUGUAAUGUUCAGCUUCUAAUUGUCUCUACUUUGUGAGACUACUUUUGAAUACUUGACCUCAAAUCAGGUAGGACUACCCGCUGAACUUAA
RNAcentral lists this unclassified non-coding RNA (303 nucleotides) under Agaricus subrufescens. RNAcentral describes it as "partial contains 5.8S ribosomal RNA, internal transcribed spacer 2, and large subunit ribosomal RNA". Lineage: Eukaryota; Fungi; Basidiomycota; Agaricomycetes; Agaricales; Agaricaceae. The record is from RNAcentral.